Molecule: long non-coding RNA, 904 nt
Organism: Lemur catta (Ring-tailed lemur)
Lineage: Eukaryota; Metazoa; Chordata; Mammalia; Primates; Lemuridae
Exons: 3
Source: RefSeq, a predicted model, not a curated record
UCUGCUCCCCUGGCCCCUGACUCUCAGCUGGGUGGACGGCAGGGCCCGGCAGCAGUUGGGCUUUUCUCCCUGAAGGGCAGGGCCCGUGACAUGUCCUCUAGAGGGCCAGUAGCCGGGGCAGUGGGUCCUACUGGCAGAGAACCCAAGCCCACUGUCCCUGGUCAGCCAGAGACUGAGCUCUGGGGCAGGAGGCAAAGGAGGCUGCUGGGAGCAGGGCCCUUCAGGCAGGCAGGGCUGGGGCCUUUCCGUCUUUCGCUGCCCUCGCUCCUGCUCCAGCAGGGCCGACUCCAGCCUCGUCCCACCGCCCGCCUCUGCCUGCAGUGCUCCAGCCCCUCCUCCACUCGCCUGCAGGACCCAGUGCAAUGUCCCCACCUCCGAGAGGCCUCCCGUGACUCCUCCAGACAAGGCCUGCCUGCCUUCCCUCUGUGUCCACUCCUCCUACAGUGACAUUGGUGGCAGGCAGUCCCCACAACAGCCCAGUGAUGCUCAGUCCUGGUCUCCGCACCACUGUGCUGCUCCUGCUCACGUCGACGAGGGCUGAGCCGUGUGACCAACAGGACACUGUAGAAGAGAUGGCGUGUCAUUUCCAAGAAACCGUGUGACGUGAUGGGCACUAGUUAACCGGUAAGGACCUCAGUGGCCCUUGCAGAACUGUCCUUGGCGCUGCGUGUGGACUCGGUGGAGCCAUCGCUCGGCACUCCUUCCUCCCCGCACUAAGCUGUGGGCACCCUGACCCUGGAGAGAACAACGAGACCCUCGAUCUGGAAUUUGUAUCUGGAGUAGAGAUGCCAGACCAGGAACCAGUUGGAUUGAUUGCAGAAACUGCUUGACAUCACACACACAUACGUACAUGUAAACACAUAUGCAUACAUACAUAUACACAUAUGUAUAUGCACAUACAUAU